GGUAUUACUACGUUGAAACACCGGUUCUCGUCCGAUCAGCUAAUUUAAGCAACGUCGAGCCAGGUCAUUACCUAGAUGGGUGACCAGUUGGGAAUACCAGCUGCUGUAA
Acanthosepion pharaonis is the source of this 109-nucleotide non-coding RNA. The record is from the annotation of a GenBank genome assembly. NCBI's taxonomy places the organism in Eukaryota, Metazoa, Mollusca, Cephalopoda, Sepiida, Sepiidae.